Molecule: non-coding RNA, 360 nt
Filed under: Amborella trichopoda
Lineage: Eukaryota; Viridiplantae; Streptophyta; Magnoliopsida; Amborellales; Amborellaceae
Description: rRNA LSU_rRNA_eukarya
Rfam family: Eukaryotic large subunit ribosomal RNA
Source: Rfam by way of RNAcentral
UUACUCAAAAGGGGAAGUGCUUGUAUCUGCUGGCAAGACCUUCUGAGAGCAUUCCUUUGAUGAGCAGAACUGGCGAUGUGGGAUGAACCAGAAGCCAGGUUACGGUGCCGAACUGCGCGUUAACCCAGAACAAAGGGUGUUGGCCGAUUAAGACAGUAGGACGGUGGUCAUGGAAGUCGAAAUCCGCUAAGGAGUGUGUAACAACUCACCUUCCGAAUCAACUAGCCCAAAAAAUGGAUGGCGCUGAAGCGCGAGACCCACACCCGGCCGUCAGCACUAUUGCCAAGCCUCGAUGAGUAGGAGGGUGCGAUGGUUGCUGUGAAACCUGGGGCACGAGCCCGAGCGAAGCGGCCAUUAGUG